AAAGAAACUGGGAUUAGAUACCCCACUAUGCUUGGCAGUAAACCUUAAAUUACACCCAAAUCGCCCGGGAACUACGAGCGAAGCUUAAAACCCAAAGGACUUGACGGUACCCCAAAUCCACCUAGAGGAGCCUGUCCUAUAAUCGAUAACCCCCGCUUUACCUCACCACUUCUAGCUAAUCAGCCUGUAUACCACCGUCGUCAGCUUACCCCGUGAGCGAAAAAUAGUGAGCUUAAUGCCACUUCACCAACACGUCAGGUCAAGGUGCAACUUAUGAGGUGGGAAAAGAUGCGCUACACUCCCUACCCUAGGGCAUACGAAAAACUACCAAUGAAAUCUAGUUUGAAGGCGGAUUUAGAAGUAAAAAGAAACCAGAGAGUUCUUCUUAACUCGGCACUGGGGUGCGUACACACCGCCCGUCACCCUCCUCAAAGUCCCAUUAUAGUUUUUAACUUUAUCAUGACAAAACAGAAGAGGCAAGUCGUAACACGGUAAGUAUACCGGAAGGUGUGCUUGGAACCACAAUAUAGCUUAAC
This 536-nucleotide ribosomal RNA is filed under the name Adenomera marmorata. RNAcentral's name for it is "partial 12S ribosomal RNA". It matches the Rfam family "Bacterial small subunit ribosomal RNA", at positions 765 to 1533 of the family's 1533-position model. The record is from RNAcentral. Lineage: Eukaryota; Metazoa; Chordata; Amphibia; Anura; Leptodactylidae.